Molecule: long non-coding RNA, 508 nt
Organism: Puntigrus tetrazona (Sumatra barb)
Lineage: Eukaryota; Metazoa; Chordata; Actinopteri; Cypriniformes; Cyprinidae
Exons: 3
Source: RefSeq, a predicted model, not a curated record
AUAUUUCAAAAGGGAGCUGUAGUGCUAUUGGAUGCUAUUGAAGUCAAAAUAUAUAUUGUUUGUAUCAUCGUUCCGUUUCAUUAUAGUUCAUGGUAAUCUUUAUAUUUGCUUCAGUUCCACCUCUACAGCAUUAUCCCCGGCUUAACUUGACAUCUACAUGAAGGCUUGGAUUCAAGUGACUUGUAGAUUAUCAGCACUAAUGUAAUCAGCCAUGAAAGAACCGGAAGAAUUGCUUGGAUGGCGGGAGCUCUUAGCUCCCCUAGUGUUCUGAGCAGCACGGAAAAGAGUGACCUGCUCACUAUACACCCCUCAAUUAAGGGAGGCGCUGUGUACUUGUACCUCCUAUGACCUGCAGAGCCUUUCAUUCAGACCCUGGCCGUCUGCUCCAGGAAACAGCACCAUGAUGUGAAGGAACUGACUUUUGUGGUUCUGGAGAAGCAGAUUUUUUGAUAAUAAAUAUAGUACACAUUGAAGGCUCACAAGGAAUAUGUCAUGGAAUUUUUGCAGG